GACGAACGCUGGCGGCGUGCCUAAUACAUGCAAGUAGAACGCUGAAGGAGGAGCUUGCUUCUCUGGAUGAGUUGCGAACGGGUGAGUAACGCGUAGGUAACCUGCCUGGUAGCGGGGGAUAACUAUUGGAAACGAUAGCUAAUACCGCAUAGGAGUAGAUGUUGCAUGACAUUUGCUUAAAAGGUGCAAUUGCAUCACUACCAGAUGGACCUGCGUUGUAUUAGCUAGUUGGUGGGGUAACGGCUCACCAAGGCGACGAUACAUAGCCGACCUGAGAGGGUGAUCGGCCACACUGGGACUGAGACACGGCCCAGACUCCUACGGGAGGCAGCAGUAGGGAAUCUUCGGCAAUGGACGGAAGUCUGACCGAGCAACGCCGCGUGAGUGAAGAAGGUUUUCGGAUCGUAAAGCUCUGUUGUAAGAGAAGAACGAGUGUGAGAGUGGAAAGUUCACACUGUGACGGUAUCUUACCAGAAAGGGACGGCUAACUACGUG
RNAcentral lists this ribosomal RNA (495 nucleotides) under uncultured bacterium. Its description in RNAcentral is "partial 16S ribosomal RNA". It matches the Rfam family "Bacterial small subunit ribosomal RNA", at positions 28 to 507 of the family's 1533-position model. The record is from RNAcentral.